UUCAAGUCGUGAGAAACGCGUGUUUAUUAUGUCACAGUGCCACUUUCAUGCUAUUUUGCAACCAGAAACUUUUGAAAAGGUCUUGAAAGUGAUUUUUAUGAGUUUAUUAAGUGUUGUGAGAUGACUUAGUGCCAGGAAAAGUCGGCGGUAGUCGCGAUAAUCGACGAUAAAAUUGCCAAAACUGGAUUCACCGGACCAGGGCCUCGAAGUCAUGGCGGCCGGCAGAGAAACAGAAGGUGUGUGUUUUAAAAAAUUCUGAGAGAGCUACGAAGAGGUGGAAACGGAAAAUGAACUCCUUAUCGGAGCGGUGUCGACCGGUACCGUACAUAGUGAAGAGCACCUCAGAAAGUGGUGGCGCAGCGAGGAAAAACGCGCGCGCGGGGGCUCCUCCGAUUUUGCGUUUGACGUCACGUAACAAUCAAUCGAUACUCAAUUUCAGCAGCGACGGCCGCAUUGUUGAAGCGACGAUAAAAUCUUCUCGCGAUACAACAGCGCGGCAAUUGUUGCGCGUCAUUGUUUCGGAAAUAACCGUCGGUGCGGUAAACGGUCAGUUGUUCCAUUAAAAAACGGUGAGUUGUUCCGGCCAAUCAGAGGAGAGUAGCGAUGCCCCCUUUCAAAUUUUUUUAUUUUGUUUUAAUAAGAUUGAUCAAUUG
Neocloeon triangulifer is the source of this 653-nucleotide long non-coding RNA. RefSeq lists it as uncharacterized. The transcript is spliced from 3 exons. Lineage: Eukaryota; Metazoa; Arthropoda; Insecta; Ephemeroptera; Baetidae. The record is from RefSeq and is a predicted model, not a curated record.